AACCGAGUGACUGAUUCCAAAUUCUUUUCUUUUUUCACUAAAUUCCAAGAAUAAUUGAUGAUAGAACUCUGUCUCGUAGCUCUGAUUUCAAAGAAAUAACAGGAAAGAAUAUAUGCAUACAUACAUGUACGCACAUGUGUAUAUUCUAUAGAUGCUUUGAAUAAGAUUUUUCAGCACUUAAAUUUAUUUGGAAAAUAUUUUUGCAUCAAUUUUAGGAGCAGGAGCCUUUUUCAAAAAUCCAGUUGAUUAACAUCUAAUUCUAAAGUCUUUACACUCCACCUUCAUAACAUUAACAUGAAUUUGUUACUUAAAAUGACUAGCAAUUUAACGUUGACCCUAAUCCCUCCACCCAGGUUCCAUUUGAAUUUCAAAAAAAACAUUUACUAUUUCUUGACAAAUUGAGUUUCACAGAUGAAUUGUGUAAAGUAAGUUAGGUUAUUAGUUCUAAUAUGUGUUUCAUAGCUCUCAUUAUGAUUGAAUGAAGACAGUGACCGUUUCGUCUUAACUUGAAACUUUCCAUUAUUCUGAAAACCUUCAGUCAUAUUCUUAGUUCUUGUCGAAACUCAAUGGGUCAGUGUAUUUAUUCUGACCCAAAGAAGGGAAAAUGGAACUAGGAACAAAAUUUCAUGAAGUUUCAGGAUGCCCAAUAUCACUCACACUGAGUAGUGCUUUACCAUUGAUGAAAUUGUUUUGGAAGGGAUGAGGAGAGCAGGAAGUUCCUGAGUCUAAAGGAGUGGAAGAGUGUGACCAGAGUGCUGGUAUGAGAUGGCAAGAGAGCUCAACGCUGAAAGAGAAUUAGAGGACACAGCAAGAAACUGCCCAUUUAUGCCACGUGAAAGGCACUGUGGAAGAAGAAGGACCCAGGAAGAGAAGAGUGCAAAGAAAACUUCAUCUGAAAUAAGCAAGGGCAGCCUGUCACAUGCCUUUAACCAUUGUUCCGAGAAGCUUGGCACCCCCAUGAGCUACCCAACUGACUGAGUCAGUCUGUCCUCUGUGAGUAACAACCCUGGGAACUGCAGAGGCAAAUAGAGAAAAAAGCCCAAGAACUUGGAAUGGUUGCCUUCUGGAGUGGUAAAUCAAGAGUGGGAAGAGGUGGACCAGGAGACUAUUGUUUUUUAUUAUAAGCCUUUGUUUUCCUGUUGGGCUUUCUAACCAUGACUAUCACAAUUUCUAACCAUGUACAUGGGUGAGUUUGAUAAACAUUAAAAUUGAAACAACAAGAAAGAAAACAGACAAUAAGAACUAUCUUCUGGAGAGUGUAAAUGCGCUACACAAUGUUACCUCUAGCUUGUUAGUCUGUGGGAGACGUUACUUGUUGAUAACAGCUCUAUUUCCCUCCAGGGCCUGGAAACAGACUCACAAACCUUCCCGAUAUCUGUUUCUAGGUAUAAUGAAGCUGGGUCUUUGGAUGAAAACUAUUUGCCACUCUUGGCCUAAGAGGAAAUACUCAAUCUCAGGACCUGCAUUCCUGAACCUAAGUGAAAACAAGACCAGAAUAUGUUUUAUGGUAUACUAAAUUAGAACGUAUAUCUUGGUAUACCUAAUUCUGACAAAUAACCUUAAUUAAGAGAUGUAUGUCACCACUAUGGAACUCUAUUAUUCCAGUGAAAUUGCUACAGUUGAAAAAAACCCAUUUAGGUUUCUGACCAUGAACAUGAAGAUAAACUUGGAAACUUUACAGCACUAUGAUUAAUAGAAUUUUCUUACUUCAGAGUUUUCAGGGUGGUGCAAAUCUCCUCACUAGCAAUACUGGCAUAACACUAUAGAAGAAAAAAAUGUUUCUUCAAGUCAACAUGUAGUUAAUUCACAUUUGGAGAUAAGAAUACCGUGACAACAUGACAAUUUAAUGAAUUUUGAGCAGCUUUAGGAAGGGGAUUAUUAAAAGAAAAAGAAAAGAAGUGUUUUGUGGUAGAAAAACAGCACACCAGAAUUAUCUGGACAAUUUUUAACAGUCAUUUGCAAGGACUUAUUUUUCCCUUCUUUUACCAUAAUUUCCUUCCUUCCUUCCUCCCUCCCUCCCUUCCUUCCUUCCUCUCUUUCUUUCUUUUAAUUUCAUUUUUACUACUACAGUGGUUGUAUUAUUUGCCUAUGAUGAAAUGAGAUUCUGUACAAGAUUCAAGAAGCAUACUUAAAUCCAUCAUUAAAAAUCUCCUGGCAUUUUUCA
This is a long non-coding RNA of Felis catus (domestic cat), 2164 nucleotides long. RefSeq lists it as uncharacterized. Lineage: Eukaryota; Metazoa; Chordata; Mammalia; Carnivora; Felidae. The record is from RefSeq and is a predicted model, not a curated record. The transcript has 4 exons.